CCCUUAGAUGUUCUGGGCCGCACACGCGCUACACUGAAGGAGGCAGCGUGUACUCCUGGAUCGAAAGAUUUGGGUAACCCGCGAAUCUCCUUCGUGCUAGGGAUUGAGGUUUGCAAUUAUCCUUCAUGAACGAGGAAUUCCCAGUAAGUGCAAGUCAUAAGCUUGCGCUGACUACGUCCCUGCCCUUUGUACACACCGCCCGUCGCUCCUACCGAUUGAAUGGUCCGGUGAAGCGCUCGGACCGCGGCCUCUUGACGGUUUUCCGUCGAUUGGCUGUGGGAAGUUCGUUAAACCUUAUCAUUUAGAGGAAGGAGAAGUCGUAACA
This 325-nucleotide ribosomal RNA is filed under the name uncultured eukaryote. Its description in RNAcentral is "partial 18S ribosomal RNA". It matches the Rfam family "Eukaryotic small subunit ribosomal RNA", at positions 1470 to 1796 of the family's 1831-position model. The record is from RNAcentral.